AACAGUUGCAUCCGAGUUCGGUUUGUUCCGAUGCGUUCGCCUAAAGUUAACCUGAAGAACAACAACGCCGAGGUGCGAGUGCCACUAAGAGACAACUAAAUCAAAGGUUACGGUCGCCUACCAUUUUUGCUUUUCCUUUGCCACUCAGCUCUGUAUUGCGUAAUUAACGUUAUUACGAAAGGCGUCGGUGGUGUGUAAAAGCAGUGUACCAUCCGAUGCAUGAGAAGCCAGUGAGUGUGUCUUGCUGCUGGUUUUUUUUUUAUUUCUCUCAUUUAUUAUUUUUUUCUUGAAGUCCAAAGUAGGACACAGCUCGCCCUCGAAUACUAAACAGGUGUUUCCCUGCGACUUUACAGGAACGCGCGCGACCACGUAUGCGUGUUUACUUUUCGAGGGUUAAAAAAAGAAACCUCGCUUGCGACAAAUGCGCCUCCACGGUCGCGGCGAACGCUUUUUUGUUGCGCGGGCGAUAAGCGAGGGCUGCGCCGUGGCUUGCCUGCUAACAAGUCACCAGUACCGCAUAAUCCGGAGUACACUGCCAACUCUGAUAUUUUUUUUUAGCGUUCUCGCAGUAGAAACGAAAAAGCGCGCAGGAAGUCAGUGCUCAAGCGGCCAUUGGCGCAAUGCCAUGUCUUGUUCGAGCAGUGGGAGAGAGGCUCAUAAGGACGCAAGAUCCCCGAUAGCGCCCCAGAUUUGGUCACGGUCUCACUCUUCGAGUCCUCGGCACGCACGAGGAUCGCUGCUGCUUCGUCCCAGGAUCUGAGCUCGGUGCGCGCGCCGUCGACAAAAGAACCGAGGGCCGUGGUAACGCCGAUCGCGGGAGCAACAAACAGCCAUGAUCAACCCGGAGGUCGGCAGGGGCGCCUCCGGCUACUUCGAACGGGGACACCACCGGGCAGAAGGGGUGCCGGACAUCGCUGUCCUGAAGACUGUGCGCCCCCCACC
Dermacentor andersoni is the source of this 942-nucleotide non-coding RNA. The record is from RefSeq and is a predicted model, not a curated record. NCBI's taxonomy places the organism in Eukaryota, Metazoa, Arthropoda, Arachnida, Ixodida, Ixodidae.